This 2921-nucleotide ribosomal RNA is filed under the name Staphylococcus aureus H81437. Its description in RNAcentral is "bacterial LSU rRNA". It matches the Rfam family "Bacterial large subunit ribosomal RNA". Lineage: Bacteria; Bacillati; Bacillota; Bacilli; Caryophanales; Staphylococcaceae. The record is from RNAcentral.
UUAAGUUAUUAAGGGCGCACGGUGGAUGCCUUGGCACUAGAAGCCGAUGAAGGACGUUACUAACGACGAUAUGCUUUGGGGAGCUGUAAGUAAGCUUUGAUCCAGAGAUUUCCGAAUGGGGAAACCCAGCAUGAGUUAUGUCAUGUUAUCGAUAUGUGAAUACAUAGCAUAUCAGAAGGCACACCCGGAGAACUGAAACAUCUUAGUACCCGGAGGAAGAAAAAGAAAAUUCGAUUCCCUUAGUAGCGGCGAGCGAAACGGGAAGAGCCCAAACCAACAAGCUUGCUUGUUGGGGUUGUAGGACACUCUAUACGGAGUUACAAAGGACGACAUUAGACGAAUCAUCUGGAAAGAUGAAUCAAAGAAGGUAAUAAUCCUGUAGUCGAAAAUGUUGUCUCUCUUGAGUGGAUCCUGAGUACGACGGAACACGUGAAAUUCCGUCGGAAUCUGGGAGGACCAUCUCCUAAGGCUAAAUACUCUCUAGUGACCGAUAGUGAACCAGUACCGUGAGGGAAAGGUGAAAAGCACCCCGGAAGGGGAGUGAAAUAGAACCUGAAACCGUGUGCUUACAAGUAGUCAGAGCCCGUUAAUGGGUGAUGGCGUGCCUUUUGUAGAAUGAACCGGCGAGUUACGAUUUGAUGCAAGGUUAAGCAGUAAAUGUGGAGCCGUAGCGAAAGCGAGUCUGAAUAGGGCGUUUAGUAUUUGGUCGUAGACCCGAAACCAGGUGAUCUACCCUUGGUCAGGUUGAAGUUCAGGUAACACUGAAUGGAGGACCGAACCGACUUACGUUGAAAAGUGAGCGGAUGAACUGAGGGUAGCGGAGAAAUUCCAAUCGAACCUGGAGAUAGCUGGUUCUCUCCGAAAUAGCUUUAGGGCUAGCCUCAAGUGAUGAUUAUUGGAGGUAGAGCACUGUUUGGACGAGGGGCCCCUCUCGGGUUACCGAAUUCAGACAAACUCCGAAUGCCAAUUAAUUUAACUUGGGAGUCAGAACAUGGGUGAUAAGGUCCGUGUUCGAAAGGGAAACAGCCCAGACCACCAGCUAAGGUCCCAAAAUAUAUGUUAAGUGGAAAAGGAUGUGGCGUUGCCCAGACAACUAGGAUGUUGGCUUAGAAGCAGCCAUCAUUUAAAGAGUGCGUAAUAGCUCACUAGUCGAGUGACACUGCGCCGAAAAUGUACCGGGGCUAAACAUAUUACCGAAGCUGUGGAUUGUCCUUUGGACAAUGGUAGGAGAGCGUUCUAAGGGCGUUGAAGCAUGAUCGUAAGGACAUGUGGAGCGCUUAGAAGUGAGAAUGCCGGUGUGAGUAGCGAAAGACGGGUGAGAAUCCCGUCCACCGAUUGACUAAGGUUUCCAGAGGAAGGCUCGUCCGCUCUGGGUUAGUCGGGUCCUAAGCUGAGGCCGACAGGCGUAGGCGAUGGAUAACAGGUUGAUAUUCCUGUACCGCCUAUAAUCGUUUUAAUCGAUGGGGGGACGCAGUAGGAUAGGCGAAGCGUGCGAUUGGAUUGCACGUCUAAGCAGUAAGGCUGAGUAUUAGGCAAAUCCGGUACUCGUUAAGGCUGAGCUGUGAUGGGGAGAAGACAUUGAGUCUUCGAGUCGUUGAUUUCACACUGCCGAGAAAAGCCUCUAGAUAGAAAAUAGGUGCCCGUACCGCAAACCGACACAGGUAGUCAAGAUGAGAAUUCUAAGGUGAGCGAGCGAACUCUCGUUAAGGAACUCGGCAAAAUGACCCCGUAACUUCGGGAGAAGGGGUGCUCUUUAGGGUUAACGCCCAGAAGAGCCGCAGUGAAUAGGCCCAAGCGACUGUUUAUCAAAAACACAGGUCUCUGCUAAACCGUAAGGUGAUGUAUAGGGGCUGACGCCUGCCCGGUGCUGGAAGGUUAAGAGGAGUGGUUAGCUUCUGCGAAGCUACGAAUCGAAGCCCCAGUAAACGGCGGCCGUAACUAUAACGGUCCUAAGGUAGCGAAAUUCCUUGUCGGGUAAGUUCCGACCCGCACGAAAGGCGUAACGAUUUGGGCACUGUCUCAACGAGAGACUCGGUGAAAUCAUAGUACCUGUGAAGAUGCAGGUUACCCGCGACAGGACGGAAAGACCCCGUGGAGCUUUACUGUAGCCUGAUAUUGAAAUUCGGCACAGCUUGUACAGGAUAGGUAGGAGCCUUUGAAACGUGAGCGCUAGCUUACGUGGAGGCGCUGGUGGGAUACUACCCUAGCUGUGUUGGCUUUCUAACCCGCACCACUUAUCGUGGUGGGAGACAGUGUCAGGCGGGCAGUUUGACUGGGGCGGUCGCCUCCUAAAAGGUAACGGAGGCGCUCAAAGGUUCCCUCAGAAUGGUUGGAAAUCAUUCAUAGAGUGUAAAGGCAUAAGGGAGCUUGACUGCGAGACCUACAAGUCGAGCAGGGUCGAAAGACGGACUUAGUGAUCCGGUGGUUCCGCAUGGAAGGGCCAUCGCUCAACGGAUAAAAGCUACCCCGGGGAUAACAGGCUUAUCUCCCCCAAGAGUUCACAUCGACGGGGAGGUUUGGCACCUCGAUGUCGGCUCAUCGCAUCCUGGGGCUGUAGUCGGUCCCAAGGGUUGGGCUGUUCGCCCAUUAAAGCGGUACGCGAGCUGGGUUCAGAACGUCGUGAGACAGUUCGGUCCCUAUCCGUCGUGGGCGUAGGAAAUUUGAGAGGAGCUGUCCUUAGUACGAGAGGACCGGGAUGGACAUACCUCUGGUGUACCAGUUGUCGUGCCAACGGCAUAGCUGGGUAGCUAUGUGUGGACGGGAUAAGUGCUGAAAGCAUCUAAGCAUGAAGCCCCCCUCAAGAUGAGAUUUCCCAACUUCGGUUAUAAGAUCCCUCAAAGAUGAUGAGGUUAAUAGGUUCGAGGUGGAAGCAUGGUGACAUGUGGAGCUGACGAAUACUAAUCGAUCGAAGACUUAAUCAA